UUGAAAGUGAAGUCGUAACAGGUUUCUGUAGGUGUACGUGCGGAAGGAUCAUUC
Molecule: ribosomal RNA, 54 nt
Filed under: fungal sp. WD32A
Lineage: Eukaryota; Fungi
Description: partial 18S ribosomal RNA
Source: RNAcentral